CGAUGUAAACACUGCGCUGUAAUGCAUGUAAACUCUGCGCUGGAUAAACGAAAACGCUGCGAUGGAUAAAGGUCAUAAACCCAAGAAAAGCUCGUCAAAAGGCGUUAUAGAUGCAAAGGCAUACAGGGAAGGACUUGGACCGGGCGAAAAAGCACGAUAUUUGAGGAAGUUCGAUUUGAUUGGUGGUGCAGAUCCCUACGAGUUGGCUCCCUCGUCUUGGAUCAAUGACGAACCGGAGAGUCUUCCGUCUGUUUGUUAUCCUGACAUCGUCAACUACCUGGUUUUCUCGCCAAGCCCAUACACAGCGGAAGACCUUAAAGUGUACAAAAGUUUGGAGGCCUAUAACCAGAUGGUGUGUGGAUGGGUGAGGGAGAUUCAAUACCAAGUCAUCGACGACAGAUGUGUUGCGAAGGCCAAAGUUCUCCAUUCUCAAUCAAUCCGAGAAACACCCUUGGAACCCUGGAUAAUCGCUGAGAAGUCUGGUCGGAUACUUGGAGCCCACUGCACGUGUAUGGCUGGCCUCGGAGAGACGUGCACACAUGUUGCUGCAUUAUUGUUUCUCAUAGAAGAAACAGUGAAGUUGAGG
Long non-coding RNA from Gadus morhua (Atlantic cod), 586 nucleotides. NCBI's taxonomy places the organism in Eukaryota, Metazoa, Chordata, Actinopteri, Gadiformes, Gadidae. The record is from Ensembl.